UACGUAGGGGGCGAGCGUUAUCCGGAUUUAUUGGGCGUAAAGCGUGUGUAGGUGGUUUAUUAAGUUUAAGAUUAAAGCCCGAGGCUUAACCUCGGUUCGUCUUAAAAACUGGUAGACUUGAGUGUAGUAGAGGUAAGUGGAAUUUCUAGUGUAGCGGUUAAAUGCGUAGAUAUUAGAAGGAACACCAGUGGGGAAGCCGGCUUACUGGGCUAUUACUGACACUGAGACACGAAAGCGUGGGGAGCAAAUAGG
Molecule: ribosomal RNA, 252 nt
Filed under: uncultured bacterium
Lineage: Bacteria
Description: partial 16S ribosomal RNA
Rfam family: Bacterial small subunit ribosomal RNA
Source: RNAcentral